Sitophilus oryzae (rice weevil) is the source of this 613-nucleotide long non-coding RNA. RefSeq lists it as uncharacterized. NCBI's taxonomy places the organism in Eukaryota, Metazoa, Arthropoda, Insecta, Coleoptera, Curculionidae. The transcript is spliced from 4 exons. The record is from RefSeq and is a predicted model, not a curated record.
UACGUUUAAUUUAAUGAUUACUAAAACCAGUAGUUCGAAAGAUAUAUUUAAAAAUAAAAGAUAAAAAUCCAAAAAAUUAAUUAUCUAUUAACGUGGAUUUGGACGACAAUAGGUUUUUAGUUUGUGAUGUUUCAUGUGAUGAUCAUUUUCAUGUUCAUCGUCUUUGAAUUGACAUGAGGAUAUCUAUGGAAAAGUAACUAAUCUGAAAGUAAGCCAACAUAUCGUUUGUCCUUUGUGUGCUAAAGAAAAGAUUUUCUUUUCGCAUCGUGAGGAAGUAUUACAUCAAUUAAAAAAUGUUAGGAAGUUGAUUACUUGUCAUGGAAAAGUAUACCAAUGGAAAUUAUUUGUUAAAGAAGUAUAAUUCUAAGGGUUUUAAGAAUAAAUUGGUUGAACCCAAAAUCUGGAGGAAGUACCUAUAUCCAUACACAGAAUAUGCCCAUUAAGAAUACUAGUCCAAAUUUGCUUUAAUGGAACGAUUAGGGCCCGAUAUAUUUGAAACUCAUGUUGGACAUAGUAUUGAGUUGGGUAGAAUAUUAUUCUACGUUAAGUGAGGAUAUCAGAUACCUAUUAUUGUACUGUAUUUUAAUAUAUACAUUAGAAUUGUUGGUUUUUU